Molecule: non-coding RNA, 231 nt
Filed under: Clostridium intestinale
Lineage: Bacteria; Bacillati; Bacillota; Clostridia; Eubacteriales; Clostridiaceae
Description: T-box sequence
Rfam family: T-box leader
About the family: Uncharged tRNA acts as the effector for transcription antitermination of genes in the T-box leader family. T-boxes are found upstream of many aminoacyl-tRNA synthetase genes and some amino acid biosynthetic genes usually in Gram-positive bacteria.
Source: RNAcentral
UUAUAACCUGUGAAAAGAAGUAGUAAACUUAACAGUUACAUUUAAGAGAGCUGUUUAUGGUGGGAUGCAGUAUGUAUACUUAAGUUGAAUGGAUCUUUGAGGUUUUUAACUGAAACUUUUAGUAGGUUAAAACGUUUGUCUAACGUUAUAUAGGCAGGAUAUGAAUGUAUCUUCAAAGAAGAGAUUACUACUCUUGAAUUUAGGUGGCACCGCGUAAAUAACGCCCUAUGG